This 303-nucleotide ribosomal RNA is filed under the name uncultured bacterium. RNAcentral's name for it is "bacterial SSU rRNA". It matches the Rfam family "Bacterial small subunit ribosomal RNA", at positions 30 to 333 of the family's 1533-position model. The record is from RNAcentral.
AUUGAACGCUGGCGGCAUGCCUUACACAUGCAAGUCGAACGGCAGCACGGGAGCAAUCCUGGUGGCGAGUGGCGAACGGGUGAGUAAUAUAUCGGAGCGUGCCCAGUCGUGGGGAUAACGUAGCGAAAGCUACGCUAAUACCGCAUACGAUCUAUGGAUGAAAGCGGGGAUCGCAAGACCUCGCGCGAUUGGAGCGGGCCGAUAUCAGAUUAGGUAGUUGGUGAGGUAAAGGCUCACCAAGCCGACCGAUCUGUAGCUGGUCUGAGAGGACGACCAGCCACACUGGGACUGAGACACGGCCCA